GAACGCUGGCGGCAUGCCUUACACAUGCAAGUCGAACGGCAGGCACGGGAGCAAUCCUGGUGGCGAGUGGCGAACGGGUGAGUAAUAUAUCGGAACGUGCCCAGUCUGGGGGAUAACGUAGCGAAAGCUACGCUAAUACCGCAUACGAUCUACGGAUGAAANCGGGGGAUCGCAAGACCUCGCGCGAUUGGAGCGGCCGAUAUCAGAUUAGGUAGUUGGUGAGGUAAAGGCUCACCAAGCCAACGAUCUGUAGCUGGUCUGAGAGGACGACCAGCCACACUGGAACUGAGACACGGUCCAGACUCCUACGGGAGGCAGCAGUGGGGAAUUUUGGACAAUGGACGCAAGUCUGAUCCAGCCAUUCCGCGUGCAGGAUGAAGGCCCUCGGGUUGUAAACUGCUUUUGUACGGAACGAAAAGGUUUCUAUUAAUACUAGGAGCUCAUGACGGUACCGUAAGAAUAAGCACCGGCUAACUACGUG
This 481-nucleotide ribosomal RNA is filed under the name uncultured bacterium. RNAcentral describes it as "bacterial SSU rRNA". It matches the Rfam family "Bacterial small subunit ribosomal RNA", at positions 31 to 507 of the family's 1533-position model. The record is from RNAcentral.